This 481-nucleotide ribosomal RNA is filed under the name uncultured bacterium. RNAcentral's name for it is "bacterial SSU rRNA". It matches the Rfam family "Bacterial small subunit ribosomal RNA", at positions 501 to 985 of the family's 1533-position model. The record is from RNAcentral.
CUACGUGCCAGCAGCCGCGGUAAUACGGAAGGUCCGGGCGUUAUCCGGAUUUAUUGGGUUUAAAGGGAGCGUAGGCCGGGGAUUAAGUGUGUUGUGAAAUGUAGACGCUCAACGUCUGACUUGCAGCGCAUACUGGUUUCCUUGAGUACGCACAACGUUGGCGGAAUUCGUCGUGUAGCGGUGAAAUGCUUAGAUAUGACGAAGAACUCCGAUUGCGAAGGCAGCUGACGGGAGCGCAACUGACGCUUAAGCUCGAAGGUGCGGGUAUCGAACAGGAUUAGAUACCCUGGUAGUCCGCACAGUAAACGAUGGAUGCCCGCUGUUGGUACCUGGUAUCAGCGGCUAAGCGAAAGCAUUAAGCAUCCCACCUGGGGAGUACGCCGGCAACGGUGAAACUCAAAGGAAUUGACGGGGGCCCGCACAAGCGGAGGAACAUGUGGUUUAAUUCGAUGAUACGCGAGGAACCUUACCCGGGCUUGAA